GAUGAACGCUGGCGGCGUGCCUAAUACAUGCAAGUCGAGCGAACGGACGAGAAGCUUGCUUUUCUGAUGUUAGCGGCGGACGGGUGAGUAACACGUGGAUAACCUACCUAUAAGACUGGGAUAACUUCGGGAAACCGGAGCUAAUACCGGAUAAUAUUUUGAACCGCAUGGUUCAAAAGUGAAAGACGGUCUUGCUGUCACUUAUAGAUGGAUCCGCGCUGCAUUAGCUAGUUGGUAAGGUAACGGCUUACCAAGGCAACGAUGCAUAGCCGACCUGAGAGGGUGAUCGGCCACACUGGAACUGAGACACGGUCCAGACUCCUACGGGAGGCAGCAGUAGGGAAUCUUCCGCAAUGGGCGAAAGCCUGACGGAGCAACGCCGCGUGAGUGACGAAGGUCUUCGGAUCGUAAAACUCUGUUAUUAGGGAAGAACAUAUGUGUAAGUAACUGUGCACAUCUUGACGGUACCUACUCAGAAAGCCACGGCUAACUACGUG
This 497-nucleotide ribosomal RNA is filed under the name uncultured bacterium. RNAcentral describes it as "partial 16S ribosomal RNA". It matches the Rfam family "Bacterial small subunit ribosomal RNA", at positions 28 to 507 of the family's 1533-position model. The record is from RNAcentral.